Molecule: ribosomal RNA, 497 nt
Filed under: uncultured bacterium
Lineage: Bacteria
Description: partial 16S ribosomal RNA
Rfam family: Bacterial small subunit ribosomal RNA
Source: RNAcentral
GAUGAACGCUGGCGGCGUGCCUAAUACAUGCAAGUCGAGCGAACAGAUGAGGAGCUUGCUCCUCUGACGUUAGCGGCGGACGGGUGAGUAACACGUGGAUAACCUACCUAUAAGACUGGGAUAACUUCGGGAAACCGGAGCUAAUACCGGAUAAUAUAUUGAACCGCAUGGUUCAAUAGUGAAAGACGGUUUUGCUGUCACUUAUAGAUGGAUCCGCGCCGCAUUAGCUAGUUGGUAAGGUAACGGCUUACCAAGGCAACGAUGCGUAGCCGACCUGAGAGGGUGAUCGGCCACACUGGAACUGAGACACGGUCCAGACUCCUACGGGAGGCAGCAGUAGGGAAUCUUCCGCAAUGGGCGAAAGCCUGACGGAGCAACGCCGCGUGAGUGAUGAAGGUCUUCGGAUCGUAAAACUCUGUUAUUGGGGAAGAACAAAUGUGUAAGUAACUAUGCACGUCUUGACGAUACCUAAUCAGAAAGCCACGGCUAACUACGUG